CAACUUUCAGCAACGGAUCUCUUCCCUCUCGCAUCGAUGAAGAACGCAGCGAAAUGCGAUAAGUAAUGUGAAUUGCAGAAUUCAGUGAAUCAUCGAAUCUUUGAACGCACCUUGCGCCCUUUGGCUAUUCCGAAGGGCAUGCCUGUUUGAGUAUCAUGA
RNAcentral lists this ribosomal RNA (159 nucleotides) under Tomentella sp. R11. RNAcentral describes it as "5.8S ribosomal RNA". It matches the Rfam family "5.8S ribosomal RNA". From Rfam's summary of the family: 5.8S ribosomal RNA (5.8S rRNA) is a component of the large subunit of the eukaryotic ribosome. Lineage: Eukaryota; Fungi; Basidiomycota; Agaricomycetes; Thelephorales; Thelephoraceae. The record is from RNAcentral.